This 150-nucleotide ribosomal RNA is filed under the name Plasmodium cynomolgi. RNAcentral describes it as "partial 18S ribosomal RNA". The record is from RNAcentral. Lineage: Eukaryota; Apicomplexa; Aconoidasida; Haemosporida; Plasmodiidae.
GAAAUGUGAUCUGUUAUCUUUGCGACAGCAAAUAAAAAAGGUCGGUGGGGGCGUCCGUGCACGUAAUCAUACCCAAAUACUUGACGUGACUAAUAUAUUCUCGCUCCUUCUGUUCCCUGGACUUCACUUCCCUGGCUUAUCAUACCGAGA